GUGUAAGAAAAAUAAGUUGGGAUAUAAGAUAAAAUGAUUUAGGAAAAACAGUAGUGCUAAAUUUGAAUUGCAAACAUCAAUAUUAGCUCAUGAUUUUAAAAAAUGUGUAUUUAUAGCUCUCUUCUGACAGGGUCAAGAAGCAAUAAUGUCCCAGUGCCAAUUAGCAUACCAGUGCCAUUUUUGGCUUUCUAAGAACUAUUUUUCAGUAGAUGAAGAAAUUCAGACUCAGAAGAGAAAUGGCUACCCCAGAUCCGGGACAAAGAAAGUAUGAAGUAAGCUUCUGACAUCUUGUGACAGAAAACAAAGGCUCAAAGAAUGACACGGAUUGGCUCAAAUAACCCAGGAGACGGUUGGAAGGGAUCUGCCCAGUAACUCUGCAAGACAGGUGACUUCAUCUCUGGCUGACAGAGGAGGUUAUUCAAAGAGGAAGAGGUCAGACAGAUGACCACGAUCAAGCCCAGAGAACAGCAGAACCCCGUCUCUCGGGUGCCAUAGACCUGGCCCAUCCUGUCCUCAAGGGGCUGGAUUAGCAGAGAGAAGGCACAGGUGACCAAAUGGCCAAGAGCUAUGACACGUUUCGCCCUGAUUUCUGCCUGGCUGUGGUGGAGAUCAGUGCUAAUAGUUAUGAGGAGGGAGAGAGGGAUGAGAAGGUUUAAUCUGAGUUGUGAGAGACAAGGAGAGUGGGAGAAUCUGGCUGACCUUCAUUAUCUGCAAAGACAGGAAAGACUCCGAUGGGGACACAAGGUGGUUC
This 751-nucleotide long non-coding RNA is filed under the name Homo sapiens (human). RNAcentral's name for it is "HSALNT0248019". Lineage: Eukaryota; Metazoa; Chordata; Mammalia; Primates; Hominidae. The record is from RNAcentral.